Molecule: ribosomal RNA, 301 nt
Filed under: uncultured bacterium
Lineage: Bacteria
Description: partial 16S ribosomal RNA
Rfam family: Bacterial small subunit ribosomal RNA
Source: RNAcentral
CAGUAGCCGCGGUAAUACGUAGGGUGCGAGCGUUAAUCGGAAUUACUGGGCGUAAAGCGUGCGCAGGCGGUUGUGUAAGACAGGUGUGAAAUCCCCGGGCUUAACCUGGGAACUGCGCUUGUGACUGCACAGCUAGAGUAUGGCAGAGGGGGGUGGAAUUCCGCGUGUAGCAGUGAAAUGCGUAGAGAUGUGGAGGAACACCGAUGGCGAAGGCAGCCCCCUGGGCCAAUACUGACGCUCAUGCACGAAAGCGUGGGGAGCAAAUGGGAUUAGAGACCCCCGUAGUCCCUGUCUCUUAUAC